RNAcentral lists this transfer RNA (314 nucleotides) under Kocuria rhizophila. RNAcentral describes it as "tmRNA*AIDEDHTFALVHSVVQQRQKAY*". Lineage: Bacteria; Bacillati; Actinomycetota; Actinomycetes; Micrococcales; Micrococcaceae. The record is from RNAcentral.
CCGCACCCACCAGGAGCGCCAGUACCCGGGCCACGUGUCCGGCACGCAGCUGAAGAACCCGGACUUCGCGGGCAUGGCGCGUGCGUUCCACGGCUUCGGGGUGCGCGUGGAGCGGGAGUCUGAGAUUCCCGGGGCCCUCGAGGAGGCGUUAAGCGCCAUCGACGAGGACCACACGUUCGCCCUCGUCCACCUGGUGGUGCAGCAGCGCCAGAAGGCAUACUGAGCCGCGUAUAAACGCUGGUCAAAGCGCACUUCCUAGAGCGGACGGCGCCGCGGUGCCCCUCCCCGGGGGGCGGUCACCGCGGCGUCGUCGC